Etheostoma spectabile (orangethroat darter) is the source of this 320-nucleotide long non-coding RNA. RefSeq lists it as uncharacterized. The transcript is spliced from 3 exons. The record is from RefSeq and is a predicted model, not a curated record. Lineage: Eukaryota; Metazoa; Chordata; Actinopteri; Perciformes; Percidae.
UUCCUGACAAAACGAAAUGGUGUUUUCUAUUUGCUCCACUAUCUCUUUUCAUGUGUCAUCUUUUACGAUGCUGUAAGCCCCUGCCCCUUGUGAGUAUUUGUUCAUUUCUGUGACAUUGAGUUAUUCCCAUAAUAUAUAAUAUUGCAAGUUAGAUGUAUCCAUUUCUUCAAUGUCAUUUCAGCCUUAAAGAUAAAUUAAUGUGGCAGUUCUUUGAUUUACAUUGCAUUUCAUAGACAUAAUUCAUAGAUUGUUAUUUUAUAGAUACUAUAUAUGACAUUUAUAAGGACUGGGAUUCAAUAACAGACACAUUUAAAAUACAU